Molecule: ribosomal RNA, 270 nt
Filed under: uncultured bacterium
Lineage: Bacteria
Description: partial 16S ribosomal RNA
Rfam family: Bacterial small subunit ribosomal RNA
Source: RNAcentral
GACGAACGCUGGCGGCGUGCUUAACACAUGCAAGUCGAGCGGUAAGGCCCUUUCGGGGGUACACGAGCGGCGAACGGGUGAGUAACACGUGGGUGACCUGCCUCAGCUCUGGGAUAAGCCUGGGAAACUGGGUCUAAUACUGGAUAUGACUCCACGGUGCAUGUCGUGGGGUGGAAAGCCUUGUGCGGCUGAGGAUGGGCCCGCGGCCUAUCAGCUUGUUGGUGGGGUGANGGCCUACCAAGGCGACGACGGGUAGCCGGCCUGAGAGGG